Molecule: ribosomal RNA, 461 nt
Filed under: uncultured bacterium
Lineage: Bacteria
Description: partial 16S ribosomal RNA
Rfam family: Bacterial small subunit ribosomal RNA
Source: RNAcentral
CCUACGGGAGGCAGCAGUGAGGAAUAUUGGUCAAUGGGCGGGAGCCUGAACCAGCCAAGUCGCGUGAGGGAAGAAGGUACUGAGUAUUGUAAACCUCUUUUGCCAGGGGACAAAAGCGGCCACGGGUGGACGUAAGAGGGUACCUGGAGAAAAAGCAUCGGCUAACUCCGUGCCAGCCGCCGCGGUAAUACGGGGGAUGCAAGCGUUAUCCGGCUUUAUUGGGUUUAAAGGGUGUGUAGGCUGUGAGGUAAGUCAGCGGUGAAAUGCCCCCGCUCAACGGGGUGAAGUGCCAUUGAUACUGCCUUGCUUGAAUGCGGAUGCCGUGGGAGGAAUGUGUGGUGUAGCGGUGAAAUGCAUAGAUAUCACACAGAACACCGAUUGCGAAGGCAUCUCACGAAUCCGCGAUUGACGCUGAUGCACGAAAGCGUGGGUAUCAAACAGGAUUAGAUACCCGGGUAGUC